CUACAUAAAGGAGGUACAGUAAUACAAAGAACCCUGGUAUAGUGUUAAAUUUUUACAAAAUGAAAUUCGAUAACUAGUCUUAUUGACUAAUACUUCUUUUUCAGCCAUUUACAGAGCAAUGUUGAGUAUUUUAAAUGAUUGUACAAAACAUAUAGUAGAUUGUACAGAACAUACAAGUAUGCACAUUUUCAUUGAUUGGCAUAUAGCAAACAAAUGGUAAAUUUAGCAACAGAUAUUAUUGGAUAAAACUCUGCCUGAUAUGAUUUCUGCACUUGGUUGUGAAAUUUUGACUAAAGAUUUUUAUUACAUGUAAGAUUGGCCCUUUUUUUCUUAACAAUGAUUUAAAUUAUUCUCAGAUACCAUAAAAUAUCAAAUAGCAUGCCUUCCUAGGGUUAAAUCUUGUAAGCCAAAAAUGGAGAAAUAUACUUUUCAUAAUAUUUUAUGAGAAUUACAAAUUAUGAAGUAAAGUUGGUAUUUCAAAGGUUUGUUUUCUCAAGAAAAAAUCUAUGGUAUUGUCCUUUUUAUAACACAAGACAAACAUGUAUGUAAUCAGACAUUAUAAUUAUCAUUUCCCUUUUUCUUUUACUAUAUCAUUACAAGAACAUAUAUCAUCUCUAAAAGGUUAAGUCACAAGGUCAAAUGUUUAAAUUACAAGGUGACAUUGUAUAUGAUACAACAUUUUAGGGCAAUUGAACAACAUAAAGGCUAAAUAGCUAAAUAUUUAUUUACAAAUUAGUUUCUAAGUAUUUUGUAUCAAGUUUCUAUGUUCUCCUUUUUCUCCAAGGUAAAAGGUUUUCUAAUAAGGAUCUUCAAGUUUUGAUAAUGAACACCAAAAAUAUCUUAAAAUAAAAUAGUCAGAAAACUUGUGCUCAGAUAAAUGCUGUUAUACAAAUUCUUGGUUGUCACAAUUCUGUACAUUUUUUUGCAGAAAUUGUAGAUAAAAAUAUAAAGCUUCUGGAUCUCAGAGAAAAAUUAUACACUAGUUUGUUCUUAUAGAUGAUAAGAAUAGAUAGAUAUUAGUAGUUUAAAAACACAGCAAAAAUCUUUCAUUUUUUCAUUUGAAUAAAAAAAAUUAAUAGUCAACAAUCAAGAUACUGAUGUAAUUUGUACCUUUCAAGCAUAUAUAAUAAAUCGAAAAAAGGGAAGAGGACAGACAAUAGAGGAGAAAAUAUUUUUUUUUUUACUUAAAACAACUGUUUAGACAAUAAGAUCCCCCUUAAAGUGAUAACUUGUACUCAUUAAGGGGAGACAAUGUGUUUCUGAAGCUACUACAUUGUCAUGAUUGUAGUCUAAUAACUACAUUGUCACGAUUGUAGUUUGUAACUACAUUGUUUUAAUUGUAGUUUGUAACAUCAUUGUCAACUUGUAGUCUUAUAACUUCUUUGUCAUAAUUGCAGUCUAAAGAUUCAGAUUUUUAUUUUUAUUUUUAAACAUCAGUACCUUUUUUCUAUUCAAUGGUGGUUUAAAAGGUUAUUUCAUUGAAUGAGUAUUGAUUAAAAUAAUUAUGUAAUCAAUUAAAUCAAAUAUGAAUUUACAGUUUCAACCUGAAAAUAUAGUGUUAAAAAGAAAUGUCAUAAAUGUAAAAAUUGCAAACAAAAAUGAAGUAAAUAUAUUUCUACAUAAAAUGAAUAAAU
Molecule: long non-coding RNA, 1634 nt
Filed under: Mytilus galloprovincialis (Mediterranean mussel)
Lineage: Eukaryota; Metazoa; Mollusca; Bivalvia; Mytilida; Mytilidae
Source: RNAcentral